AUUGAACGCUGGCGGCAGGCCUAACACAUGCAAGUCGAGCGGAUGAAGGGAGCUUGCUCCUGGAUUCAGCGGCGGACGGGUGAGUAAUGCCUAGGAAUCUGCCUGGUAGUGGGGGAUAACGUCCGGAAACGGGCGCUAAUACCGCAUACGUCCUGAGGGAGAAAGUGGGGGAUCUUCGGACCUCACGCUAUCAGAUGAGCCUAGGUCGGAUUAGCUAGUUGGUGGGGUAAAGGCCUACCAAGGCGACGAUCCGUAACUGGUCUGAGAGGAUGAUCAGUCAAACUGGAACUGAGACACGGUCCAGACUCCUACGGGAGGAAGCAGUGGGGAAUAUUGGACAAUAGGCGAAAGCCUGAUCCAGCCAUGCCGCGUGUGUGAAGAAGGUCUUCGGAUUGUAAAGCACUUUAAGUUGGGAGGAAGGGCAGUAAGUUAAUACCUUGCUGUUUUGACGUUACCAACAGAAUAAGCACCGGCUAACUUCGUG
RNAcentral lists this ribosomal RNA (484 nucleotides) under uncultured bacterium. Its description in RNAcentral is "partial 16S ribosomal RNA". It matches the Rfam family "Bacterial small subunit ribosomal RNA", at positions 30 to 507 of the family's 1533-position model. The record is from RNAcentral.